Long non-coding RNA from Leucoraja erinaceus (little skate), 983 nucleotides. RefSeq lists it as uncharacterized. The transcript is spliced from 17 exons. Lineage: Eukaryota; Metazoa; Chordata; Chondrichthyes; Rajiformes; Rajidae. The record is from RefSeq and is a predicted model, not a curated record.
GUUGCUGGAGCUCGCCCGCCCUCUCUUGCUGCUGGAACCAUGAAGCCGGCCCCGCUCCACGUCAAGGCCCAGGCGCUGCGGAUCCGCCCGGAUGGAGCGCACGGAGACGCGGUUGGCCGAGGUGCUUGAAUCUGAAGGCAAGACUGCAUACAGGUGUGAAGCUGGCCUGUGGUCUCCUUGAGGACAGGGUGCUCAUUGGAAGAUCCAAGGAUGAAAGGAUAAAAUGGUCACUGAAAGAAAGAUCCAUGGGCUGAAGAUUCCAGUUUCUGUUUCCAGAUGUGGAUCGGGACGGUUGACCAUCCUUGAACUGGCCUUGGGCUGCAGCAAUUGUGACUGUUUGCCUCAUUCCAACAUGUAAUCGCAGCAGUAGUUCGAUCAGACUUUUCCAACAGUUAACUGACCAUAGAGGAAUAUUAGGAUGCAAAUAAAUAAAAAAAGGCAGUCAUGACCUCCCAAUUCCACAUCCAGGUGCUGCACCUUCCUAUGGACGGAGCUCACAGAAAGAUUCCUCCUGCCUUUGUCGCUGUCCAUUUCCUGGCCAAACAGGUGUACAUGCAGUCAAGUUAACAUGUUUACUAUUGCUGAGAUGAUGGACUUAUUUGAAGAUGGACCUGCUUAUAAGCAUUUGGUUUCGGAGUGAGUUUGGCCUGGGGAUCGCAUGAGAUUCCAGUUUCUGUUUCCAUAUGCAGUUCGGGACUGUUCACCAUACUUGAACAGGUCUCGGCCUGUCGCUGUUGUGACCAUUGCCUGGAUUGAAUUGCAGGAGCGAGUUCAUCGGGAGCAGCAGCGGAGGUGUGUUUGUUUCAGCAGGUCUGGUAUUGUCCCAGGCGAGGGAUGAUGGCAAAAGGCUUUGAUGCUUCUCGUCACGCUGGCAUGAUAGAUGAGGUACCAACAGAGCCAGUUGCCACACAUCAAUCUGAUUUAUGCACUGCAUGUGAAUGUCACCUUGUAACACUGGAAUAACAAUAAACAUUGUUACUUUA